Molecule: ribosomal RNA, 497 nt
Filed under: uncultured bacterium
Lineage: Bacteria
Description: partial 16S ribosomal RNA
Rfam family: Bacterial small subunit ribosomal RNA
Source: RNAcentral
GAUGAACGCUGGCGGCGUGCCUAAUACAUGCAAGUCGAGCGAACGGACGAGAAGCUUGCUUCUCUGAUGUUAGCGGCGGACGGGUGAGUAACACGUGGAUAACCUACCUAUAAGACUGGGAUAACUUCGGGAAACCGUAUCUAAUACCGGCUAAUAUUUUGAACCGCAUGGUUCAAAAGUGAAAGACGGUCUUGCUGUCACUUAUAGAUGGAUCCGCGCUGCAUUAGCUAGUUGGUAAGGUAACGGCUUACCAAGGCAACGAUGCAUAGCCGACCUGAGAGGGUGAUCGGCCACACUGGAACUGAGACACGGUCCAGACUCCUACGGGAGGCAGCAGUAGGGAAUCUUCCGCAAUGGGCGAAAGCCUGACGGAGCAACGCCGCGUGAGUGAUGAAGGUCUUCGGAUCGUAAAACUCUGUUAUUAGGGAAGAACAUAUGUGUAAGUAACUGUGCACAUCUUGACGGUACCUAAUCAGAAAGCAACGGCUAACUACGUG